This 253-nucleotide ribosomal RNA is filed under the name uncultured bacterium. RNAcentral's name for it is "partial 16S ribosomal RNA". It matches the Rfam family "Bacterial small subunit ribosomal RNA", at positions 524 to 776 of the family's 1533-position model. The record is from RNAcentral.
UACGGGGGGGGCAAGCGUUGUUCGGAAUUACUGGGCGUAAAGGGCUCGUAGGUGGCCAACUAAGUCGGACGUGAAAUCCCUCGGCUUAACCGGGGAACUGCGUCUGAUACUGGAUGGCUUGAGUUCGGGAGAGGGAUGCGGAAUUCCAGGUGUAGCGGUGAAAUGCGUAGAUAUCUGGAGGAACACCGGUGGCGAAGGCGGCAUCCUGGACCGGCAUUGACGCUGAGGCGCGAAAGCCAGGGGAGCAAACGGG